Molecule: ribosomal RNA, 1488 nt
Filed under: Weissella confusa
Lineage: Bacteria; Bacillati; Bacillota; Bacilli; Lactobacillales; Lactobacillaceae
Description: 16S ribosomal RNA
Rfam family: Bacterial small subunit ribosomal RNA
Source: RNAcentral
UGGCGGCGUGCCUAAUACAUGCAAGUCGAACGCUUUGUGGUUCAACUGAUUUGAAGAGCUUGCUCAGAUAUGACGAUGGACAUUGCAAAGAGUGGCGAACGGGUGAGUAACACGUGGGAAACCUACCUCUUAGCAGGGGAUAACAUUUGGAAACAGAUGCUAAUACCGUAUAACAAUGACAACCGCAUGGUUGUUAUUUAAAAGAUGGUUCUGCUAUCACUAAGAGAUGGUCCCGCGGUGCAUUAGCUAGUUGGUAAGGUAAUGGCUUACCAAGGCGAUGAUGCAUAGCCGAGUUGAGAGACUGAUCGGCCACAAUGGGACUGAGACACGGCCCAUACUCCUACGGGAGGCAGCAGUAGGGAAUCUUCCACAAUGGGCGAAAGCCUGAUGGAGCAACGCCGCGUGUGUGAUGAAGGGUUUCGGCUCGUAAAACACUGUUGUAAGAGAAGAAUGACAUUGAGAGUAACUGUUCAAUGUGUGACGGUAUCUUACCAGAAAGGAACGGCUAAAUACGUGCCAGCAGCCGCGGUAAUACGUAUGUUCCAAGCGUUAUCCGGAUUUAUUGGGCGUAAAGCGAGCGCAGACGGUUAUUUAAGUCUGAAGUGAAAGCCCUCAGCUCAACUGAGGAAUUGCUUUGGAAACUGGAUGACUUGAGUGCAGUAGAGGAAAGUGGAACUCCAUGUGUAGCGGUGAAAUGCGUAGAUAUAUGGAAGAACACCAGUGGCGAAGGCGGCUUUCUGGACUGUAACUGACGUUGAGGCUCGAAAGUGUGGGUAGCAAACAGGAUUAGAUACCCUGGUAGUCCACACCGUAAACGAUGAGUGCUAGGUGUUUGAGGGUUUCCGCCCUUAAGUGCCGCAGCUAACGCAUUAAGCACUCCGCCUGGGGAGUACGACCGCAAGGUUGAAACUCAAAGGAAUUGACGGGGACCCGCACAAGCGGUGGAGCAUGUGGUUUAAUUCGAAGCAACGCGAAGAACCUUACCAGGUCUUGACAUCCCUUGACAACUCCAGAGAUGGAGCGUUCCCUUCGGGGACAAGGUGACAGGUGGUGCAUGGUUGUCGUCAGCUCGUGUCGUGAGAUGUUGGGUUAAGUCCCGCAACGAGCGCAACCCUUAUUACUAGUUGCCAGCAUUCAGUUGGGCACUCUAGUGAGACUGCCGGUGACAAACCGGAGGAAGGUGGGGAUGACGUCAAAUCAUCAUGCCCCUUAUGACCUGGGCUACACACGUGCUACAAUGGCGUAUACAACGAGUUGCCAACCCGCGAGGGUGAGCUAAUCUCUUAAAGUACGUCUCAGUUCGGAUUGUAGGCUGCAACUCGCCUACAUGAAGUCGGAAUCGCUAGUAAUCGCGGAUCAGCACGCCGCGGUGAAUACGUUCCCGGGUCUUGUACACACCGCCCGUCACACCAUGAGAGUUUGUAACACCCAAAGCCGGUGGGGUAACCUUCGGGAGCCAGCCGUCUAAGGUGGGACAGAUGAUUAGGG